CCACCACUUGGGGAUAACCUUGCGAAAGUAAGACUAAUACCCAAUGACGUCUCUAGAAGACAUCUGAAAGGGAUUAAAGAUUUAUCGGUGAUGGAUGGGGAUGCGUCUGAUUAGCUUGUUGGCGGGGUAACGGCCCACCAAGGCAACGAUCAGUAGGGGUUCUGAGAGGAAGGUCCCCCACAUUGGAACUGAGACACGGUCCAAACUCCUACGGGAGGCAGCAGUGAGGAAUAUUGGUCAAUGGACGAGAGUCUGAACCAGCCAAGUAGCGUGCAGGAUGACGGCCCUAUGGGUUGUAAACUGCUUUUAUAAGGGAAUAAAGUGAGUCUCGUGAGACUUUUUGCAUGUACCUUAUGAAUAAGGACCGGCUAAUUCCGUGCCAGCAGCCGCGGUAAUACGGAAGGUCCGGGCGUUAUCCGGAUUUAUUGGGUUUAAAGGGAGCGUAGGCCGGAGAUUAAGCGUGUUGUGAAAUGUAGAUGCUCAACAUCUGCACUGCAGCGCGAACUGGUUUCCUUGAGUACGCACAAAGUGGGCGGAAUUCGUGGUGUAGCGGUGAAAUGCUUAGAUAUCACGAAGAACUCCGAUUGCGAAGGCAGCUCACUGGAGCGCAACUGACGCUGAAGCUCGAAAGUGCGGGUAUCGAACAGGAUUAGAUACCCUGGUAGUCCGCACGGUAAACGAUGGAUGCCCGCUGUUGGUCUGAAUAGGUCAGCGGCCAAGCGAAAGCAUUAAGCAUCCCACCUGGGGAGUA
RNAcentral lists this ribosomal RNA (751 nucleotides) under uncultured bacterium. Its description in RNAcentral is "bacterial SSU rRNA". It matches the Rfam family "Bacterial small subunit ribosomal RNA", at positions 130 to 882 of the family's 1533-position model. The record is from RNAcentral.